AACGCACAUUGCGCCCCUUGGUAUUCCAUGGGGCAUGCCUGUUCGGGCGUCAUUUGUACCUUCAAGCUCUGCUUGGUGUUGGGUGUUUGUCCCCGUUUUGUGCGUGGGACUCGCCUCAAAGUCAUUGGCAGCCGGCGUACUUGCCUUGGAGCGCAGCACAUUUUGCGCUCUUUGCCCUGAACGUUGGCGUCCAUUAAGCCUACACUUUUGCUCUUGACCUCGGAUCAGGUAGGGAUACCCGCUGAACUUAA
Molecule: unclassified non-coding RNA, 251 nt
Filed under: uncultured fungus
Lineage: Eukaryota; Fungi
Description: partial contains 5.8S ribosomal RNA, internal transcribed spacer 2, and large subunit ribosomal RNA
Source: RNAcentral